This 947-nucleotide long non-coding RNA is filed under the name Mytilus galloprovincialis (Mediterranean mussel). Lineage: Eukaryota; Metazoa; Mollusca; Bivalvia; Mytilida; Mytilidae. The record is from RNAcentral.
ACCGUAUGCGUAUUUUGAAAAAGUACUCAUACGGUCCAGACCGUACGCGUACGGUCCAAAUACUCAUACGGUCUGGAACACAUAUACUAAUUUUGAUGACAGUGAGUAAAGAAAUGGAAACUAAUUAAUCGAUAAACUAUUGGUUUUUUUUUGGGUUUCUUUCAACUGACACACUUGGUUUUUUCUUGAUUAUUGUCUUGAUGGGCAAUAAAAUUGUCCCUUCUAUUUACCACUUUGACAAAAAAUAAUGUUGACAUUUCAUCUUCAAAUAAGACAAAACAUUAAUUUAUUUAUUUCCCAUCCUAGAUAGCCAGGGCCAAUCUGAUAUCCACGAUGUCUGAAAUUCUCGCUUCCGUAUUUUUUUUUAAUGCUGCUUGUCCUCCAUUUGCGUUUAAGUUUUCUACUCGACUCAUUCAUCUUUUUGUCUUGCUUGUCCGGUGUUUUAUUAAGUAUUUAUCAAUCUGAACAUCGAUACAAAAUCUAAAGAAAUGACAUUUCCGGUGAAUGAUGGAUAAAACCUAAUCGACGAUCUCGGGUCAAUGGACAAAGCCAAUGCAAUGUUACGCGACUCGGGUUCGCAUACUUAUUUUUAUUUAUUUUGGUAAUCGAUCUAUUUCCGUUAUUAUGCAAUAUUUAUCGUCAUGAACAUUGAUGUUUUUACUUGCUGACCAUUGGUUUCUUUUAAAUAAAUUAAACAUCUUGAUACGUUUUGAAAUUUAUUCUAUAUUUUUGUUGGAUUUGAACUUUGUCUUGUAUAUUUUUUUACUUGUCCACGGGCAACCAAGACAAAAAUAAUUACUUGUCCGGUUGUUCAAAUGUACGAGUCGGGCGAGUCAGGCAUAUCAUUUCCACACCCCUGAUAAGCCAACUAUACAGUAUGGAUGUUUCUCAUUGUUGAAUCCUUACCGUUGCCAUGUUUGCUGACAUCCCCUUCAAUACGAUUUUUC